UUACAGUAUAAAAAUCAUCGUAUCUUGCCUACAAAUUAAAAUAACUAAAUAACAUUCUUAUCUUAGGUUUGAUACAGGCAAAGGCAAAUACACCCCAAUGUUAAAACUGAUAACACAAAAUGAACGAAAGUAUAAAAAUAACGUCAUUUUGUAAAUUGAGCAAUUUCACCGAUGGAGUGUAAGAUAAUAAUAUGCGUAAUAAAUGGUACCUAUAUAUCCUAC
This is a non-coding RNA of Cinara cedri, 222 nucleotides long. Lineage: Eukaryota; Metazoa; Arthropoda; Insecta; Hemiptera; Aphididae. The record is from the annotation of a GenBank genome assembly.